This 247-nucleotide ribosomal RNA is filed under the name uncultured bacterium. RNAcentral describes it as "partial 16S ribosomal RNA". It matches the Rfam family "Bacterial small subunit ribosomal RNA", at positions 15 to 239 of the family's 1533-position model. The record is from RNAcentral.
GAUCCUGGCUCAGGAUGAACGCUGGCGGCGUGCCUAACACAUGCAAGUCGAGCGAAGCAUUUUAAAAGGAAAGUUUUCGGUAUGGAAUUUGAAAUGACUGAGCGGGCGGACGGGUGAGUAACGCGUGGGUAACCUGCCUCAUACAGGGGGGAUAACAGUUAGAAAUGCUGCUAAUACCGCAUAAGCACACAGUACCGCAUGGUACAGUGUGAAAAACCUCCGGUGGUAUGAGAUGGACCCCGGCGUU